This 98-nucleotide microRNA precursor is filed under the name Mus caroli (Ryukyu mouse). Its description in RNAcentral is "microRNA 351 (MGP_CAROLIEiJ_G0008339.1)". The stretch from base 9 to 82 matches the Rfam family "mir-351 microRNA precursor family". The record is from RNAcentral. Lineage: Eukaryota; Metazoa; Chordata; Mammalia; Rodentia; Muridae.
CAUGGCACCUCCAUUUCCCUGAGGAGCCCUUUGAGCCUGGAGUGAAAAAAAAAACAGGUCAAGAGGCGCCUGGGAACUGGAGAAGAGUGUUAAACUUC